UUUGCCUCUUCAUCUUCUCUAAACUGUGAGAGCAAAAUAAAGAGUACUGUAGUUAGGGUUUGAUGGGUGAAAUCUAAGGAUUUUUUUGGUGAGAAUCGUAGCGAUGGAGUUAAGGUAUUGUUCAACUAGGUUGUUAUCUUUCUCUCUGUGGUGGAUUUAUAAGUUUUUGCUUAUCGUGGGAUGGGUUUCCAUUAAGAUUUUGUUAAUGGCCGAAGACUUCAUUUCUGAUCGGUUUUCUUGAUGUCCUGCUUACUUUUGGGGAUUAUACAGAAGCAAGAUCAGCGGUGGUCUCAAGGCUUUUGGCAUCAGCUCAGUAGCCAUAACUUACAUUGAUAUGAUGGUUCUUCAGGAGAGAUAUGAAGGAACUCAAACUCAUGCUAUAUUGAGAUUUAUAUUCUUAUUUUGGGUGUUUAUGCGCGAUUAUUUCUUGCACAAGUUUCUGGUUUGCCAUACUGAUCAGUCCUCCACUCAACUCUUAAGUGGAUUUAUGAGCUGGACUUUUUGUAUGGAUGAGUGAUUAUUUUAGUCGUUCUUUGAUCUGGGAAACACAAACAAUGAACUCAACAGUGAUUAGAAGGACAUGUACAUCAGUUCAGUAAUAUAAAGUUGAUGUUUCUGGAAACCGAAGGCUGUUGUCAUCCAUGUUCCUCACUGACUAUGCAAAGGUUUCAGAAAGAGUCAUUUUGGUCUUGUAACAGAGCUUAAGAAGAAGUUCAGUAGCAAGACAAGUUGAUUUUUCCAGAAAAUUGUUGUCAUCCAUGUUCCUUACUGAAUACGCAAAGGUUUCAGAAAGAUUCAUAUCGGUCUUGUAACAGAGCAUAAGAAGAAGGUCAGUAGCAUGGUAUAGUCUUUUGGUUGUGUAGAUGCUUUAGAGACAUCAUGCUAUCUUAAUUUUGGUUGUUGGUGCAUCCAAAUGAUAUAUGUUUCGUAUUGAACUUUGGGAACAUGAACAAAAUCAGAUGGGAGGUUCAUGAAAUUGAACGAAUUAGAGAAGAUCAAAAUACAUUUAGCUAAAUCUCAUUAACUGUGAUAUAGCACUUUCAUACCAGUCUCUAGAGUUACCAAUAUCCAAGUAUGUAAAUAUGUACCCAGAAUGCGCUGAAGUUGAAGUUGAUGGAGUUAGGAUGGAGAAUUUAUUAGGAAGAGUGAAGGGAAAAGUCUUACAAAAUUGAAUCAAAUUUUUUGAUCUAGAAUUUUGUGUACUCAGAUUUAAAUUGUGCGAAAUCUAUGGGGGAUGAUAAAAGGAUGAGAUAAAAUAUGAAACAAUUGAAAUAGCGUUCUGGAAAAAUUUACAUCAAAAUUUAAAUUGAAAAAUAGAUUGGGGUUCGAAUAAAGGUCAAAAUUUUUUGGACAUACAUAAUCUAUUUUGUGGUUAGGUUGUUAAUAGUUUGAUUAUCUCUGAAUCGAUUUGGGGACGAUGAUAUAAUGGAAUGAAUGUGUCUUAAUCGUUUCGGGGACGAUGAAAAAACUGGCAGAAGUUGAAGUAGCACUUUCAUACCAGUUUAUGAGCUUUGAGGAUCUUUUUGUGUCUUCUGUUGUGGAUUUGCUUGCUGUUCUUCUCUUGUCGUAUUGUAUGUAGUGUAUGGCUAAUGAUCAUCUCUCCAUCAUGUCUUGUCUGAACCUUGCACCUACAUUGUGCAAUUGGGCAGCAAAUGAAGGCAUAUAUGGUGACUCUUGCAGAUCUUGACCAUUUGUUACAGGGCACCAGAAGUUCUCCUCGGAGCCACUCUACUCAACUCCAGUAGAUUUGCGGUCUGUUGGCUGUAUUUUUGGUUCUGAACCAAGCGCUCUUUCCCGAGGAUACUGAAUUGAAGCAACUCCUCCACAUCUUCAGGUAGUUGGGAGCCCCAAAUGAAGAGCGCUGGCCAGGGCUAAGCAAGCUAAUGAAUUGGCUUGAAUAUCAGUCAUCUCAUUCUAACCUUGAGGGGAGCUGGUUAAGAUCUGCUCUUGCAAAUGUUGCGAUUCAAACCUUCACAGAGGCUAUCAGCAAAGAAAGCAAUAGAACAUCCUUACUUUGAUGACCUGAAUAAAGCUGGCCUCUAAAAUCUAUCCAACGAUGUUAUUGAUUCUAACACCUGGGCAUUUUGACGGUUCAGAGAUCAAAUCCAGUCAUUCUUUGAUCUUGGAAACACAACCAAUGAACUCAACACUGACUUGAAGGACCCUCACAUCAGCUUAGCAGUAGAAGUUGAUGUUUCUGGAAACCAUACGGCCGUUCUCAUCCAUGUUCCUUACUGUCUACGCCAAGGUUUCUGAAAGAUUCAUUUUAGUCUUGUAACAGAGCUUUAGAAGAAGUGCAGUAGCAAGAACCUUGCACCUACAUUGGCCAAUUAGGCAGCAAAUGAAGACAUAUAUGGUGUAGCCUUGAUCCUUGCAGAUCUCGACUCUUUGUAACAGGGCACCAGAAGUUUUCUUUGGAGCCAUUCUCUACUCUACUCAACUCCAGUAGAUUUGUGGUCUGUUGGCUGUAAUAUGGCUGAACUGGUUAUGAAUCAAGCACUCUUCCCUAGGACUCUGAAUUGCAACAACUACUCCACAUCUUCAGGUUGUUGGGAACUCCAAAUGAAUAGGGGGUAAGCAAGCUAAUGAAUUGGCAUGAAUAUUGACAAUGGUCUUCACAGAAGUUGUCAUCUGGUCCUAACCUUGAUGAAGCUGGUCAAGAUCUGCUCCUGCAAAUGUUGCGCUACAAACUUUCACAGAGACUGUCCGCAAUGAGCAUGCCUUGAUCUGGGAAACACAAACAAUGAACUCAACCGUGAUUUGAAGGAACUUUACAUCAGCUCAGCAGUAUAAGCUGAUGUUUCUGGAAACCGUAACGCCGUUGUCAUCCAUGUUCCUCACUGACUACGCAAAGGUCUCAGAAAGAGUCAUGUACAUACUCUUGUAGGAAGGCCGUUGUCAUCCAUGUUCCUCACUGACAAUGGUUUCAUAAAGAGUCUUUUUGGUUUUGUAACAGAGCUUAAGAAGAAGUUCAGUAGCAAGACAAGUUGAUGUUUCUGGAAACCGGAAGGUUGUUGUCAUCCAUGUUCUUUACUGAAUAUGCAAAGGUUUCAGAAAGAUUCAUUUUGGUCUUGUAACAGAGCUUAAGAAGAAGAACCUUGCACCUACGUUGUGCAAUUGGGCAUCAAAUGAAGGCAUAUAUGGUGUAGUCUUGACUCUUGCAGAUCUUGACCAUUUGUUACAGGGCACCAGAAGUUCUCGUAGCCACUCACUACUCUACUGAACUCCAGUAGAUUUGGGGUCUGUUGGCUGUAUUUUUGCUGAACUGGUUAUGAACCAAGCGUUCUUUCCCGAGGAUACUGAAUUGAAGCAACUAUUCCACAUCUUCAGGUUGUUGGGAGCCCCAAAUGAAGAGUGCUGACCAGGGCUAAGCAGGCUUAUGAAUUGGCUUGAAUAUCUGUCAGCUCAUUCUAACAUUUAGUGAAGCUGGUUAAAAUGUGCUGUUGGCGAGUUGGAACUCAAGUUGUGAUUGUUUACAUUGUGACGAAUAUCACCUGACAUUCUGAUAAUGUACUGAUAAUGUACUUAUGCUUUGUAUGUUUUAACAGCGAAUUUUUGCGAUACAAAGGAGCAUCCUACUUUGAUGACCUGAAUAAAGCUGGCCUCUAAAAUCUACUCAACGAUGUUUUUUAUUGAAUUCUAACACCUGGGCAUUUUGACGGUUCAGAGAACAAUGCCAGGUUAACCAAGGCACUUGUUGUUCUAGUCUUUUAGCAUUCAAAGAGAGUUUCUGGGUGCGAGAUUCAUAUCCGAAGAUGAUAAAGCAUGGUUUUUGAGUUGGUUGAUUAUGAGUCCCACCAUUUUAAACGAUUGUACUAGAAUUAACAUCAUUAUUCUGCUUUGUGUCCAAGUUGCUAAUCAAGCCUCCUCUAAUAUUAUUAC
Long non-coding RNA from Papaver somniferum (opium poppy), 3882 nucleotides. RefSeq lists it as uncharacterized. The record is from RefSeq and is a predicted model, not a curated record. NCBI's taxonomy places the organism in Eukaryota, Viridiplantae, Streptophyta, Magnoliopsida, Ranunculales, Papaveraceae. The transcript has 26 exons.